This 2170-nucleotide ribosomal RNA is filed under the name Achnanthes cf. elongata. RNAcentral describes it as "SSU rRNA". The stretch from base 390 to 2170 matches the Rfam family "Eukaryotic small subunit ribosomal RNA", at positions 1 to 1562 of the family's 1831-position model. The record is from RNAcentral. Lineage: Eukaryota; Bacillariophyta; Bacillariophyceae; Mastogloiales; Achnanthaceae.
GCCAGUAGUCAUACGCUCGUCUCAAAGAUUAAGGUAUGUUAAACUUACUUUAUUGAUCCAGUUCAUAACACAAAUACAUGCACCUUCCAUUGGUUGGGUGUCUAGGGCUGAAGAUUUGGGAAACUAUCCCGUGCACAGAUGCUGCAAUGAGCCAGUAAUGAUGUCUGUUAUCUUGAUCAGCUCUGCAGCACUAUAGGCCAACCUGCCCUGCACCGACACCCUCAAAGAAGGCAGCAAUGCUGGUGCAUGUAUGAACUGGAGUGUUUCGUUCUGGCGGCAUCUUGAACUGUGAGACUGUUUCUCACUGUACUCUUUUCUCUUCAAAACUUGUGCUCUUUUCUCCUCAAAACUCGCCUCCAUUGCGAUUCUGGAAAACUUGCCUCCAUUUUAACUGGGAAAACUUGACCCUAACAGCCAUGCAUGUCUAAGUAUAAAUAUUCUACUUUGAAACUGCGAACGGCUCAUUAUAUCAGUUAUAAUUUAUUGGAUAGUCCCUUACUACUUGGUAUACCCGUAGUAAUUCUAGAGCUAAUACAUGCGUCAAUACCCUUGUGGGUAGCAAUUAUUAGAUUGAAACCAACCCCUUCGGGGUGAUGUGGUGAUUCAUAAUAAUAGAGUGGAUCGCACGGCUCUUGCCGGCGACGGAUCUUUCAAGUUUCUGCCCUAUCAGCUUUGGAUGGUACGGUAUUGGCCUACCAUGGCUUUAACGGGUAACGGGAAAUUAGGGUUUGAUUCCGGAGAGGGGGCCUGAGAGGUAUGUUUCCUUUGUAUAUUCUGUUAUGUAUUAUGGUCCUUUGACAUGUUGUGUGGACUGUUAUAGCGUGGCUAUGGCCACUGCAAGGCCUUGCUAAACACACACACUAUAGAUAGAUAGGGACUUGUUGGUGUGAACUUUGUGUUCACCAGUCACUACUCCUAUUGUUUGUUUGUUUGUUUGGUUUCUAACACACACUCUUGUUCUUAUUCUUUUUCCUUCUCUGAAUAUAUAAUAUAUAUAUCAUUUAUUCUCUCUUAGAUGGCCACCACAUCCAAGGAAGGCAGCAGGCGCGUAAAUUACCCAAUCCUGACACAGGGAGGUAGUGACAAUAAAUAACAAUGCCGGGCCUUUGUAGGUCUGGCAAUUGGAAUGAGAACAAUUUAAACCCCUUAUCGAGGAUCAAUUGGAGGGCAAGUCUGGUGAGUAAAUGAUGGAAUUUCACAACCGUUGGGUUUUAGACUUCACAAUGCCAAGCCAUCACAGCAAGCUAUAAUUCCAGAUAACUCCACACUAAUUGAAAGAGAAUGACCAACUCACACACAAUUCACUCUUUCCUCACUUCUUCUGAAUCUGCAGGUGCCAGCAGCCGCGGUAAUUCCAGCUCCAAUAGCGUAAGUUCAAUUUUGUUUUCUAGGUGUUUAUCUGGUUAUGGUUAGGAUCAAACAAUUACUCACAAAAACUUCCUCCCAUUGCACUUGCUUCCACUAUUAAAUCAAUCUCAAACAACAGGUAUAUUAAAGUUGUUGCAGUUAAAAAGCUCGUAGUUGGAUUUGUGGCUGUCACGUGCGGCCUGGCACUUAGUGCCAGCGCUUUGCUUGUGUCGCCAUCCUUGGGUGGAACCUGUGUGGCAUUAGGUUGUCGUGCAGGGGAUGCCCAUCUUUUACUGUGAAAAAAUUAGAGUGUUCAAAGCAGGCUUAUGCCGUUGAAUAUAUUAGCAUGGAAUAAUAGGAUAGGACCUUGGUACUAUUUUGUUGGUUUGCGCACCAAGGUAAUGAUUAAUAGGGACAGUUGGGGGUAUUCGUAUUCCAUUGUCAGAGGUGAAAUUCUUGGAUUUUUGGAAGACGAACUACUGCGAAAGCAUUUAUCAAGGAUGUUUUCAUUAAUCAAGAACGAAAGUUAGGGGAUCGAAGAUGAUCAGAUACCAUCGUAGUCUUAACCAUAAACUAUGCCGACAAGGGAUUGGUGGAGUUUUCAUUUUGUCUCCAUCAGCACCUUAUGAGAAAUCACAAGUCUUUGGGUUCCGGGGGGAGUAUGGUCGCAAGGCUGAAACUUAAAGAAAUUGACGGAAGGGCACCACCAGGUACGUUCAUUCAACUAUGUAAAUAAAUGAUUAAAGAGCUAAGCUACUUGCAAAUGAUCGAGACUAUGAGUCGAAGCGUUUGUUUGCCAACGCUGUCGUUUGUUUCAAAACUU